RNA transcript from Motacilla alba alba, 5474 nucleotides. It is a transcript of the gene named ankyrin repeat domain 55, with no coding region annotated. The record is from RefSeq and is a predicted model, not a curated record. Lineage: Eukaryota; Metazoa; Chordata; Aves; Passeriformes; Motacillidae. The transcript is spliced from 12 exons.
UAUCUGCUCCACUGUGCUGUUGUAGCUAACACUGUCCACUUCAGCCGCAGCAGUUUGCUCUCAGUUAUUGUCCCUUAACUAACUGUGACUGAGUAGUGCCAAACUGAGGGAGGAAGGUCUGCGAGGUGUGUUCUCUGCGCUGGCGCUCACCGCGGCGGUGUCUGCAGGCACCACGGGCCGGGCCGCGCUCAGGCCCGGCGCGGCGGGCAGCGCGGCCGCGGGCCCGGCGGGGCUGGCUCUGCACAUGCUCCGUGUGCCAGCCCGGGCCGCUCGCUCUGCCCUCGCUGGGCUGCGAGAGCUGCGGCGUCGCCGGGCUGCUCGCAGGCUCUUGCGUUCGCUGAAGACGUGGCGUUUUUCAGGAUCUCAGAUAGGCGUCCGGGGCAUCUUUUUAAGAGAGUCCAUAAAAGAAUAUAAUGUUUCCAUCAGGCUCUUGCCUUGGCAACAACCUGCAGCCGUAAAGCGAGUUUAAUUCUUUGAGAAGAAGACUGGUGACAGCUAUCGUUUUACUGUGUACUGUAAUAUAUGAGAUUCUACCCUGAGAACCCUGGAGGUGGCAUUUGUCUGGUCUGGUUGUGAAUAAUGAGAUAGAUCACAAUGGAUUUCAGUUCCUCAUCCGUGUUUGACCAGCAUAAAGCUGGUGCAGCAGAAGAGAUGGACUUGGCUGUAGUUUACCAAGCAGCAGCUAACGGCGAUGUGAACACCCUGACUGCAGUGAUCCGAGAGGAUCCUUCCAUCCUGGAGUCUUGUGACAGAGAGGGUUGCACACCUUUGAUGCAUGCUGUGUCAGGACGCCAGGUUGACACAGUGAAGCUUCUGUUGAAGAUGGGAGCUAAUAUUAAUACUCAAGAUGCUUGUGGACGUACCAGUCUAUCUCUGGCAACUUAUUUGGGCUGGCUGGAAGGCUGUGUCAGCCUGCUCAGGAAUGGUGCUAAGCAGAACAUACCUGACAAGAACGGGAGGUUGCCACUACACGCUGCCACCGCAGAGCCUGAUGUGAGGCUUCUGAGCUUGCUUCUGCAGCAGUCAAAUCUUAGUGAAAUUAAUCACCAGGACAAUGAGGGAAUGACUUCACUCCACUGGGCUGCAUUCCACAACAGACCCCAGCACACCCAGACUUUGCUGCACAAGGGAGCAGACCCGACUCUGGUGGACAAGGACUUCAAAACAGCUCUGCACUGGGCAGUACAGAGUGGCAACAGGAUUCUGUGUUCCAUCAUUCUGGACCACUGGCAGGGACCAUCAAUAAUAAAUUAUGAUGAUGAGAAUGGCAAAACAUGCAUGCACAUUGCUGCUGCUGCAGGCUACAGUGAUAUCAUCAGUGAGCUGGCUAAGGUCCCAAAGUGUAACCUGCAGGCCCUUGAUGUGGAUGACAGGCCAUGGCCUAGUAAUGCCCUGCACUCCACAGAGAACUCUGCUUGCUCAGAAACACUCCAAACCAGUCCAGCUCACAUGUAUUGUACUUGGACUCCUUUGCACUGGGCUGCAGCAGCGGGGAAAGCUGACUGUGUGCAGACACUGCUAGAACUGGGGAUAGACAGCAGCCCUCGAGACAUCAAUGAAAACACUCCUCUGACAUAUGCAAUAUACUGUGGGCACACGGCGUGCAUCAAGCUGCUGACUCAGGAGAGCAGUAGAUAUGAGUCAGUUCAUCAGUUUCACUCCCAGAACAACAGACUUAUAAAGAAAGAAGGACGAUUCAGUAUGCUGAACCAGAUCUUCUCUUGCAAAAAGAAGAAAGAUGAUCAGAAAACCAGUCAGAAGGAGAGAAGAAGGGAUCAAUAUCCUGGAGAAGAAACUUCAGAAGUAGAUGAUAUCAUCACCCGUUUUGAUUGCAUUAUGAAUAAAAAUUGCAGAGACAUUCCAGAUGAGUGGAAGACCACCCCUGACUUUAAAAGAAAGACCACAGAUACUAAGUACCUCAUAGCAGAAAAGAAGAAAUCAGUAUGUCAGGGACUCCCACCCAUCACCACCCAGAGCUUCCCACCAAUCACUGCAGGCAACUCCUUCUUAACUGCUUCCCAGAGCAAAAUGUCAAGCUUCUCCUCCAGCUCCAGUACCCACCAUUUUCCAUACAAAUCUCAAAAGAGUAGGAGUGAGCACAAUUUGCUGGACAACACACACAGGUGCCAGGCUUUGCUGAAUGAUCCCUGGAACACAGAUUCUAACCAAAGGUUCUCUUACAAAGUCUGUACUAGAACUUCUUCAGACAAACUGAUGAAUGGCUUAGACUCUGAUAGAUCUCACCAUGUGCUUUUGUGCCCUCCCUUCCUUCCCUCACUUCCCAGUUCUCCAUCAGGAGACUUAGCUGAGGGGGGAAAAACAACAUCCAGGUUUUGAAGACACUGAAAUGUUAAUACUUCAUUUCUCCAUUCAUGACUGUGGGGGACUACAUGUAAUUUCCUAUCACUGAAUAUCUAGGGCAGGAUUAUGGGUACCAAUAAUCUAAGAAAACUCAAUUUUAAAAUUAUUUUCUCUGUUGACAGAGAGUGUUGAUUGUCUUGCAUGACCAUGUCUAUUGUCAAAGUCAAAGCUAGUUUUUGUGCUCACGUGCUACAAAAAAGGCAGCUAGCACAUAUAUGUGUCACAGCCUUUGGAGGUUUUUUGUUCUAUUAUCUGUGCUCCUGGGAGUGAAAGAUGAGUCAAUUUACCAGCUGGGCGUUAACACUCACACAAAGGGGAGAGGUUGCUGUGUGUAGCAAUGAGAGUUACCUUACUACUGUGCCAUUGGUAUCUCUCAGAAUUACUGCCCUUCACUGAGAAGAGCAAAUCCAGUCUAUACUAAAAACUGUCAUAAUUCCAUGAGAGUUUGCCACCCACAGUACUGAGCUAGCAUCAAAAAUCUGAAGCAUUUGCUUAUGAGCUUUGCAAUCAUCUCUUUCUGCAAAAUGCACUGCCAUCUACAUUCUACAGGGAAAAGUAGUGGAGUAGAGAAUUCCAAGUGAUAUGGGUAACAGGAAGCCUGUCUCAAGUAUAGGACUGCUCUGAGGUGCCUAUCAUCCACUCAUCUUUUGGGUUACUGAAUUUCCAGAUGUAAGAUGAUACUUUAUUACAGGCUUUAUUACAGUACCUUCUGUUUGCUUGAAUAGGUGAUGUGGAAAAUGGGCUAUUGUUAAGUUUAUGAUGGUAUAAGCAGUAUGGUAUAGUUCAACAGGAAGCAUUUUUUGGCUAGGAAAGCAGAGCAAAACUGAUCAGGGUGGCUGUCACUUUCUCAAAUUUAAGAACCCAUUUACUCUGAGACAUUCAUCAUAACAUUAACAACUUUUUCACAAAAUACACUACUAUGUGGUUCACCUUCCUAAAUGCAAGGAAAAAUGGGGAAAAAAUACAACCUCUGAAAGGACCCAAAUGCAGACCCUGCAUUUUAUAAGAACGAAAUUGCUUUCUUUCCAUUUUUUCAGUAAUAACUGCACUCAUAAAUGUGCUCUUGGAGACAGCAAAGAUGAUGUCUCAGAGAGAAAAAAACUAUUUUUCCAGAUGUUAUGUUAAACAGAUAGAAAGGAAAAGUAGAAGAAAACUUCUACUUGAUGCCAAAACUUUUAACUAGGAUUCUUUUCCAAGCAUUCAUCAUCCUUGCAAACAUGGUUAUGUUUUGUACCAUUGUUUUGCUGACAGAUAUCCCAUUUAUGAAAUGAACAUAUCUCUUGAUAGCAACAACAACCUCCCAUCAUCAAAGCUAUAAUGGUACUUACACAAUAAGCCAUUAGUUCUCAGCAUAAGCAUCACAGAAACCAGUAUAACUUGAGUUGCUCUAAUGAGAGCAACAAACAAUUCUCUGCUACAUAUCAAUUCCAAUAUAUCAUUGGAAUUGAUAUAUUUAGUCCUUUGUGCAAAGUGGAUGCGAGGUCUAUAGAAUAAAUUUACCAACUAGACACUAGAGAAGUUAAUGAGUAAAACACAGAAAAACCAAACUGAAGUCUGUUUCUGUUAAGCAGAGAUUCUUCAUGCAAGAUUCUUCAUGCUUUAGCAUGAAGAGAGAUUCCUCAUACAGAUUCUUCAUGCUUUAGCUCAAACACAUCAGCUUAACCACAAGAUCCAGCAGACUGACCCGAUGUUUAUCAGCUGUUGUGGCUUUCAGACCAGAGCCUUGCUCCAUGUUGAGCUGAAGGCUGCACCGUAACAUGGUGGUUUGCCUGACCAACGCCACAGUAACUCCUUUCACACAAAACCUGUUUAGUCAUCGACAUAGUUACAGCAGCCAUGACAGCUACUUCAGUGCACCUGUAGAAAACUUCUAGAAAACUAUUUUUCUACAUCUUUAUCUAGCACAGCCCAACAACACAUAGGUAUUUUCAAGUACCAGCUGCAAAGCCACAAAGGCAAUUAAUAUCAUUCCAUUUCUUCCUCCUGCUUAGGAUGUCCUGCUACAUCCACCCCGUGUCUCCUCCUGUCUCUGUGUGCUGACAGAGCAUAUGCCUGCUCUUCAAUGAGCUAUGUUGCAAAGCCGUGCUGGAUGAGCAGCUGCUUGCUAAAACAUCUCAUUACAUGGCUCAUCACAGAUUUGGUGAUAACAAGAAAAAUAAUUAGAGGGACUCAAGCAUCACAGAAUAAGAUCAGCUCAGGAAAAAGAUCGGGUAAAAAUGUUGACUUAGUGCUUGAGUUUCUACUUUUUCAGUAUUAGACGUGUCCUUUAUGUGAUGAAAUGCAUUACAUCAUCUAACAUACUGUCUUUUUUAAUAGUAUUAGACCUAAGUUAACUUUAAUUUUAACCAGUGACAUGCCAGAAUGAACCAAUUAACCUUUCCUUUUCCAGUAUAUACUCUUCUUGGUGAGAAUUAUACUGCCAUAAACAUAGUUUAAUAAGGAUCAGUAUAGCCUUCCAUCGGUUGUGAUAUGCUUUCAUCUCCAACAAAACCCUUCAAAGCUCAACUUUACUGCUAAUAGCUUUCAAUGUCCUUUUCCAACCAGCAAUUGAAGUCUAUUUUUGUUUUAAUACUUACAAAGGCUGAGACCCUAUCAGGACAUUUUGUAGACUAAACCUUCAAUUUUGAAAUCAAAACAUCUAUUUGAAUAAUUUUACAGAUUUCGAGUCCAAAGAUUCUUACAGAGACCUAGCUAAUAAACGGUGCCCAUUUUAAGACCUAAAGCUAUAUUAUACGAGAGGAAGCUAUAAGGGUAUAUGUGAAGGUUGUACUAAAUCAAUCUGUCCUUUUUAUGAGUGUAAAGUGAACUAAGCAACAGCUUCUUUUUUUUCAGUCAGUGGUUUCUUGUUAUUACAUAUUUCUGAGAAAUACUAAUUAAGUUUUCUUUUCUUUUCUGGAAGCCAGAAAUGCACAGUGCACCACACUAGUUACAAUUAUUUCCAUUAUAAUUUUCUUUUUCUUUCACAGGUAGAAGUUUUCAACAGAUGUCCAUAGACCAACACAAAAUGAAAAAUGGUAUUCCUGUACAGAACAGCCUAGCUCCAAUACCCAACCACAGUGCUCACAAAAUUCAGCUGCCAUCUCAGGAUGCUGAGUCCUUACGGACUGGUGCAG